This 253-nucleotide ribosomal RNA is filed under the name uncultured bacterium. RNAcentral describes it as "partial 16S ribosomal RNA". It matches the Rfam family "Bacterial small subunit ribosomal RNA", at positions 524 to 776 of the family's 1533-position model. The record is from RNAcentral.
UACGUAGGGUGCGAGCGUUGUCCGGAAUUAUUGGGCGUAAAGAGCUUGUAGGUGGUUUGUCGCGUCUGCUGUGAAAAUCCGAGGCUCAACCUCGGACUUGCAGUGGGUACGGGCAGACUAGAGUUCGGUAGGGGAGUCUGGAAUUCCUGGUGUAGCGGUGAAAUGCGCAGAUAUCAGGAGGAACACCGGUGGCGAAGGCGGGACUCUGGGCCGAAUACUGACGUGAGGAGCGAAAGCGUGGGGAGCAAACAGG